This 419-nucleotide ribosomal RNA is filed under the name uncultured Prevotella sp. RNAcentral describes it as "bacterial SSU rRNA". It matches the Rfam family "Bacterial small subunit ribosomal RNA", at positions 358 to 774 of the family's 1533-position model. Lineage: Bacteria; Pseudomonadati; Bacteroidota; Bacteroidia; Bacteroidales; Prevotellaceae. The record is from RNAcentral.
GGAAUAUUGGUCAAUGGGCGAGAGCCUGAACCAGCCAAGUAGCGUGCAGGAUGACUGCCCUAUGGGUUGUAAACUGCUUUUAUACGGGGAUAAAGUCAGGGUCGUGACCCUGUUUGCAAGUACCGUAUGAAUAAGGACCGGCUAAUUCCGUGCCAGCAGCCGCGGUAAUACGGAAGGUCCGGGCGUUAUCCGGAUUUAUUGGGUUUAAAGGGAGCGCAGGCGGAAGGUUAAGCGUGACGUGAAAUGUACCGGCUCAACCGGUGAUGUGCGUCGCGAACUGGCUUUCUUGAGUGAGUACGACGCUGGCAGAAUUCGUGGUGUAGCGGUGAAAUGCUUAGAUAUCACGAAGAACUCCGAUUGCGAAGGCAGCCGGCGAGUCCUCAACUGACGCUAAUGCUCGAAAGUGCGGGUAUCGAACA